GCGCUGGCUUCCACAGCGCAGAUACUAAAGUUGGAAUGCUACAGAGACGAGUAUGCCCCCUGUGCAAGGAUGACACACAAAUUUUCUGAAGCGUUCCCUAUUAAA
Molecule: small nuclear RNA, 105 nt
Organism: Sorex araneus (European shrew)
Lineage: Eukaryota; Metazoa; Chordata; Mammalia; Eulipotyphla; Soricidae
Source: Ensembl